RNAcentral lists this transfer RNA (76 nucleotides) under Oscillospiraceae bacterium. Its description in RNAcentral is "tRNA-Lys". It matches the Rfam family "tRNA". Rfam says of the family: Transfer RNA (tRNA) molecules are approximately 80 nucleotides in length. Their secondary structure includes four short double-helical elements and three loops (D, anti-codon, and T loops). The record is from RNAcentral. RNAcentral also lists the same sequence under 1 other name. Lineage: Bacteria; Bacillati; Bacillota; Clostridia; Eubacteriales; Oscillospiraceae.
GGACGCGUAGCUCAGUUGGAAGAGCACCGGACUUUUAAUCCGGGUGUCGCGGGUUCGAUUCCCGCCGUGUUCACCA